RNAcentral lists this ribosomal RNA (478 nucleotides) under uncultured bacterium. RNAcentral's name for it is "bacterial SSU rRNA". It matches the Rfam family "Bacterial small subunit ribosomal RNA", at positions 28 to 507 of the family's 1533-position model. The record is from RNAcentral.
GAUGAACGCUGGCGGCGUGCUUAACACAUGCAAGUCGAACGGAGUUAUUUGGAAGCUUGCUUUUGAAUAACUUAGUGGCGGACGGGUGAGUAACGUGUGGGGCAACCUGCCCUAUACUGGGGGAAUAAUCACUGGAAACGGUGACUAAUACCGCAUGUCAUCACCGGAGGGCAUCCUCUGGGUGAAAAAAAGGAGCAAUUCGGUAUAGGAUGGGCCCGCAUCUGAUUAGCUAGUUGGUGAGAUAACAGCCCACCAAGGCGACGAUCAGUAGCCGACCUGAGAGGGUGAUCGGCCACAUUGGGACUGAGACACGGCCCAAACUCCUACGGGAGGCAGCAGUGGGGGAAUAUUGCACAAUGGGGGGAAACCCCUGAUGCAGCAACGCCGCGUGAGUGAAGAAGUAUUUCGGUAUGUAAAGCUCUAUCAGCAGGGAAAGAAAAUGACGGUACCUGACUAAGAAGCCCCGGCUAACUACGUG